UAGGGAAUCUUCCGCAAUGGGCGAAAGCCUGACGGAGCAACGCCGCGUGAGUGAUGAAGGUCUUCGGAUCGUAAAACUCUGUUAUUAGGGAAGAACAAAUGUGUAAGUAACUAUGCACGUCUUGACGGUACCUAAUCAGAAAGCCACGGCUAACUACGUGCCAGCAGCCGCGGUAAUACGUAGGUGGCAAGCGUUAUCCGGAAUUAUUGGGCGUAAAGCGCGCGUAGGCGGUUUUUUAAGUAUGAUGUGAAAGCCCACGGCUCAACCGUGGAGGGUCAUUGGAAACUGGAAAACUUGAGUGCAGAAGAGGAAAGUGGAAUUCCAUGUGUAGCGGUGAAAUGCGCAGAGAUAUGGGGGAACACCAGUGGCGAAGGCGACUUUCUGGUCUGUAACUGACGCUGAUGUGCGAAAGCGUGGGGAUCAAACAGG
Molecule: ribosomal RNA, 429 nt
Filed under: Actinomycetes bacterium
Lineage: Bacteria; Bacillati; Actinomycetota; Actinomycetes
Description: Actinobacteria bacterium partial 16S ribosomal RNA
Rfam family: Bacterial small subunit ribosomal RNA
Source: RNAcentral